CUUCGUUGGUAAAAGUGGAUGAGGUUUGCUUAAAUAGAACUGCUUCAGUUUUUCAAAAUGCUGGUUUAGAAUGGCUAACAUCAUUUAUUCACUGGAAAUCUCAAUUACAGUUUUCAUUUUGUUUUCUAUGUUUUAAUAAGUCUUCAGAAAACAUUUCACUCAGUGAUACCAAUUUGGGUGAGUAGAUUAGUAUCCUGACCAUCAGGAGGUGGGAUCUAGGUGAAGACGUGGAGAAUGAAGCUCCCCUGCCAGCCACACCUGAGAGCAGGUAAGGUCCAGAACGAAGCAAGGUAUAUAGACUCCCUCUUAAUAUUUGUUUCUAGAGCUGGCGGUUUCUAAUUUCAGGAGGAGAUGGAUGGAUGGAUUAGAGCUACAGAGGAUUGAUGGAGCUACAGAUGGAUGGAUGGAUUAGGCUACAGAGCCCUUGGGGCAGCUUCACGUAGUCUCUUCUUGGAAUUCCUUGUUUUUAAUGUGCCAUCCCUGCCGUAGUGACAUCUAGGACUUGGCUUCACUGGGACCCCAAACGAGCAUAGGAUCAAGCUGCAGAAAGUGAAUCUAGCUGCAGCAGUGACCAGGGGAAGAUUUCCAUGGAACUUAGCAUUGAAAACCAGACGGAUGAGUGACUGCCUGAGCACCUCAGAGCUCCACGGGACACCUCUUCUUUGUGCUGCACUCUGUGCCAGCACGCGCUUAACCAUCGCUCAGCUUUCUGUGACCUCCUUUCCAGGCAAAGGAAUACUGUGAUUACCGCUAGAAGCGAGUACCUCAGAUUGAGUGGCUUCUUGGUGAGAACACAUCGACUUGUUCCUCUGUACUAUGCCGCGGUAUUGGUUCAGCACCAACAUGAAAGGAAAUGUAUUCUGCCUUGUGGAAUUGACAGUUGAAA
RNAcentral lists this long non-coding RNA (886 nucleotides) under Struthio camelus australis. Its description in RNAcentral is "lncRNA (ENSSCUG00000007798.1)". The record is from RNAcentral. Lineage: Eukaryota; Metazoa; Chordata; Aves; Struthioniformes; Struthionidae.